AUCCAGGGGGCGUGAUUGGAUCCACCUCUAGGGGGUGGAUAUUGGUGAGUUUAGGGGUGGAGCUCUGGGAGAUGGGUGGGUUUAGGAAUCAGGGGGUGGAGAUUGGUAGGUUUAGGGGUGGAGCUCUGGGAGAUGAGUAAGUUUAGGGGUGGAGCUCUGGGAGAUGGGUGGGUUUAGGGGUGGAGCUCUGGGAGAUGGGUGGGUUUAGGGGUGGAGCUCUGGGAGAUGAGUAAGUUUAGGGGUGGAGCUCUGGGAGAUGGGUGGGUUUAGGAAUCAGGGGGUGGAGAUUGGUAUGUUUAGGGGUGGACCUCUGGGA
Sinocyclocheilus anshuiensis is the source of this 316-nucleotide long non-coding RNA. RefSeq lists it as uncharacterized. The record is from RefSeq and is a predicted model, not a curated record. The transcript has 3 exons. Lineage: Eukaryota; Metazoa; Chordata; Actinopteri; Cypriniformes; Cyprinidae.